GUGCCAGCCGCCGCGGUAAGACAGGGGGUGCAAGCGUUGCUCGGAAUCAUUGGGCGUAAAGCGCACGUAGGCGGUCUCGUAAGUCGGGUGUGAAAGCCCUCAGCCUAACUGAGGAACUGCGCCCGAUACUGCAAGGCUAGAGGAUGGGAGGGGAGAGUGGAAUUCCUGGUGGAGCGGUGAAAUGCGUAGAUAUCAGGAGGAAUACCAGUGGCGAAGGCGACUCUCUGGUCCAUUCCUGACGCUGAGGUGCGAGAGCUAGGGGAGCAAACGGGAUUAGAAACCCGUGUAGUCC
Molecule: ribosomal RNA, 292 nt
Filed under: uncultured bacterium
Lineage: Bacteria
Description: partial 16S ribosomal RNA
Rfam family: Bacterial small subunit ribosomal RNA
Source: RNAcentral